Molecule: ribosomal RNA, 496 nt
Filed under: uncultured bacterium
Lineage: Bacteria
Description: partial 16S ribosomal RNA
Rfam family: Bacterial small subunit ribosomal RNA
Source: RNAcentral
AUUGAACGCUGGCGGAAUGCUUUACACAUGCAAGUCGAACGGUAGAGGGGGCAACCCCUCGAGAGUGGCGAACGGGUGAGUAAUAUGUCGGAACGUGCCCAGUCGUGGGGGAUAACGUAGCGAAAGUUACGCUAAUACCGCAUACGAUCUAAGGAUGAAAGCGGGGGAUCGCAAGACCUCGCGCGAUUGGAGCGGCCGAUAUCAGAUUAGGUAGUUGGUGGGGUAAAGGCUCACCAAGCCAACGAUCUGUAGCUGGUCUGCGAGGACGACCAGCCACACUGGAACUGAGACACGGUCCAGACUCCUACGGGAGGCAGCGGUGGGGAAUUUUGGACAAUGGACGCAAGUCUGAUCCAGCCAUUCCGCGUGCAGGAUGAAGGCCCUCGGGUUGUAAACUGCUUUUGUACGGAACGAAAAGGUCUCUCUUAAUACGGGGGGCUCAUGACGGUACCGUAAGAAUAAGCACCGGCUAACUACGUGCCAGCCGCCGCCGUAA